UACGUAGGGUCCGAGCGUUAAUCGGAAUUACUGGGCGUAAAGCGUGCGCAGGUGGUUUUGUAAGCCAGAUGUGAAAUCCCCGGGCUCAACCUGGGAACUGCAUUUGGGACUGCAAGGCUAGAGUACGGCAGAGGGAGGUGGAAUUCCAGGUGUAGCAGUGAAAUGCGUAGAGAUCUGGAGGAACACCGAUGGCGAAGGCAGCCUCCUGGGCUAGUACUGACGCUCAAGCACGAAAGCGUGGGGAGCAAACAGG
RNAcentral lists this ribosomal RNA (253 nucleotides) under uncultured bacterium. Its description in RNAcentral is "partial 16S ribosomal RNA". It matches the Rfam family "Bacterial small subunit ribosomal RNA", at positions 524 to 776 of the family's 1533-position model. The record is from RNAcentral.